CUACGGAGGGGGUUAGCGUUGUUCGGAAUUACUGGGCGUAAAGCGUACGUAGGCGGAUUAGUAAGUUAGGGGUGAAAUCCCGAGGCUCAACCUCGGAACUGCCUCUAAAACUGCUAGUCUUGAGUUCGAGAGAGGUGAGUGGAAUUCCUAGUGUAGAGGUGAAAUUCGUAGAUAUUUGGAGGAACACCAGUGGCGAAGGCGGCUCACUGGCUCGAUACUGACGCUGAGGUGCGAAAGCGUGGGGAGCAAACAGGAUUAGAAACCCCGGUAGUCC
Molecule: ribosomal RNA, 274 nt
Filed under: uncultured bacterium
Lineage: Bacteria
Description: partial 16S ribosomal RNA
Rfam family: Bacterial small subunit ribosomal RNA
Source: RNAcentral